CAGUAGCCGCGGGAAUGCGUAGGGUGCAAGCGUUAAUCGGAAUUACUGGGCGUAAAGCGUGCGUAGGCGGUGAGUUAAGUCUGCUGUGAAAUCCCCGGGCUCAACCUGGGAAUGGCAGUGGAUACUGGCUCGCUAGAGUGUGGCAGAGGGGGGUGGAACUCCGCGUGUAGCAGUGAAAUGCGUAGAUAUGCGGAGGAACACCGAUGGCGAAGGCAGCCCCCUGGGCCAACACUGACGCUCAUGCACGAAAGCGUGGGGAGCAAACAGGAUUAGAUACCCGCGUAGUCCCUGUCUCUUAUAC
Molecule: ribosomal RNA, 301 nt
Filed under: uncultured bacterium
Lineage: Bacteria
Description: partial 16S ribosomal RNA
Rfam family: Bacterial small subunit ribosomal RNA
Source: RNAcentral